Molecule: ribosomal RNA, 250 nt
Filed under: uncultured bacterium
Lineage: Bacteria
Description: partial 16S ribosomal RNA
Rfam family: Bacterial small subunit ribosomal RNA
Source: RNAcentral
GUGCCAGCCGCCGCGGUAAAACGUAGGAGGCGAGCGUUAUCCGGAUUUACUGGGCGUAAAGCGUGUGCAGGUGGUUUGGUAAGUUGGAUGUGAAAGCUCCUGGCUUAACUGGGAGAGGUCGUUCAAUACUGCCAGACUUGAGAGUGAGAGAGGGAGGUGGAAUUCCGGGUGUAGUGGUGAAAUGCGUAGAUAUCCGGAGGAACACCAGUGGCGAAAGCGGCCUCCUGGCUCAUUUCUGACACUCAUACAC